This 497-nucleotide ribosomal RNA is filed under the name uncultured bacterium. RNAcentral's name for it is "partial 16S ribosomal RNA". It matches the Rfam family "Bacterial small subunit ribosomal RNA", at positions 28 to 507 of the family's 1533-position model. The record is from RNAcentral.
GAUGAACGCUGGCGGCGUGCCUAAUACAUGCAAGUCGAGCGAACAGACGAGGAGCUUGCUCCUCUGACGUUAGCGGCGGACGGGUGAGUAACACGUGGAUAACCUACCUAUAAGACUGGGAUAACUUCGGGAAACCGGAGCUAAUACCGGAUAAUAUAUUGAACCGCAUGGUUCAAUAGUGAAAGACGGUUUUGCUGUCACUUAUAGAUGGAUCCGCGCCGCAUUAGCUAGUUGGUAAGGUAACGGCUUACCAAGGCAACGAUGCGUAGCCGACCUGAGAGGGGGAUCGGCCACACUGGAACUGAGACACGGUCCAGACUCCUACGGGAGGCAGCAGUAGGGAAUCUUCCGCAAUGGGCGAAAGCCUGACGGGGCAACGCCGCGUGAGUGAUGAAGGUCUUCGGAUCGUAAAACUCUGUUAUUAGGGAAGAACAAAUGUGUAAGUAACUAUGCACGUCUUGACGGUACCUAAUCAGAAAGCCACGGCUAACUACGUG